AUACGGAGGGUGCAAGCGUUGUCCGGAUUUAUUGGGUUUAAAGGGUGCGUAGGCGGUACGCUAAGUCAGUGGUGAAAUCCCGCAGCUCAACUGCGGAACUGCCAUUGAUACUGGCGUACUUGAGUACGGACGAGGUAGGCGGAAUUUAUGGUGUAGCGGUGAAAUGCAUAGAUACCAUAAAGAACACCGAUAGCGAAGGCAGCUUACUAGACCGUAACUGACGCUCAGGCACGAAAGCGUGGGGAGCGAACAGGAUUAGAAACCCUAGUAGUCC
RNAcentral lists this ribosomal RNA (274 nucleotides) under uncultured bacterium. Its description in RNAcentral is "partial 16S ribosomal RNA". It matches the Rfam family "Bacterial small subunit ribosomal RNA", at positions 523 to 796 of the family's 1533-position model. The record is from RNAcentral.